CAUAUUCAUCUUCCACAGAGCAGAAUCUCUUCAAUUACAGUGAAUUUAUUGAAUGAUAUUAUCCUCCUCUUGAUAAGAUUUAGUGAAGAAUCACAAAAAAUUAGAGGUAAAAGCAAAAGGGCAGGAAUUUCAUUGUAUCGUCAGAUAUGGAGCAACAACAGCAAGUUUGAGCAAGGAUCAGACAUUAAUGAGAAUUUCCAAGUUCUGAUUUGAUGUUUAGCUAGGAAAAGGAGAAUAGGUUAUUCAUUUCAAACAUCAAAUAGUGCAGAUUGAGAGACAACUCCAACAAUAGAACAAAUGGAUGCUCAAAAUCAGACCUACAAGCAGUCAAUCAGACCCAAGACGACAAGUAUAUAAUUUAACCAAUCCAAGUUAUGGUUUGCAAAGGAAGCCAAAAUGACUGAUCAUACCAUGAGGUGCAGAGAUGGCUCAGAAAACCAAUCACAUCAAAAGUUACAAUGGUCUCUCUAAAACCUUGGCUAGGCUUUGAUCUACAAACAAAGUUGAAAAACCAUCUCCAAAAAACAAAGUUAGAUCAAGUGUUGCAAAGGGGUGUGUUCAAAAACUGAUCAAGUUGAGAAGUGCAAAGGAGGUUAUUCUGAUCACUAAAUACAAACAAGAGCAAUCUGACUGAAUUUCAUUAGAUUCAGGUCCCUGGCAUUAAGAUCCAAGCGAAAUUCCUCUUUGUGCAUUCUCAAGGGUCAGGUGAAUAUUCUCAUUCAAAUGGUUUAAAUGCUUAAGAUAGGAUUCAAUGAAGCAAAGGCAAGUGAAAAGAUUGAGCAAUUCCAUUAAGGUACAACAUCAGUUAAUGAAGACUGAGGUUCAGUUCUAGUCUUGCAGAGUAUCCUGUUUAUUUUGCAUUUGAAGAGGAGAAGCUGAAUGCCAUUUUAGCCGAUAUCAAACAGAAUGAUGCUAUUGGACAGGUUGCAACUGCAACAACUGGAGGGGAUGGUUGCCAGGACUUCGAGGAGAUGGAGACUCAACUCAACUUCCAACUAUUGCUAUUGUGGCGUCAUACGAUACAUUUGGUGCAGCACCAGCUUUGUCUGUGGGCACUGACAGCAAUGGCAGUGGAACAGUAGCUAUAUUAGAACUGGCCAGAUUGUUUUCUCGUCUCUAUUCAAAUCCAAAAACAAGAGGAAGAUAUAAUUUGUUGUUCGGAUUGACCUCUGGUGGACCUUAUAAUUACAAUGGGACAUUCAAGUGGCUGGGGAGUUUUGAUCAACGACUUAAGGAAAGCAUUGAUUAUGCUAUUUGCUUCAACAGUGUUGGAUCAUGGAAUAAUGAACUCUGGCUUCAUGUUUCCAAGCCUCCUGAAAAUGUUUACAUAAAACAAAUUUUUGAUGGUAUUUCUGAUGUUGCAGAGGAGUUAGGAAUUACUGUAGGUGUUAAGCACAAAAAAAUAAAUAUUUGAAAUCCACGUGUAAGUUUGUUCAUUUUCCAUAUCUAGUUUUAGUCUGGACAAUAAAUGCCAUUUUAUAUAGCAAUCCUCACCCUUGUGUUUUCUC
Cryptomeria japonica (Japanese cedar) is the source of this 1508-nucleotide long non-coding RNA. RefSeq lists it as uncharacterized. The transcript is spliced from 6 exons. The record is from RefSeq and is a predicted model, not a curated record. Lineage: Eukaryota; Viridiplantae; Streptophyta; Pinopsida; Cupressales; Cupressaceae.